CUUGACUGUAGCCUGGAAUUGGGUUCGGGCUUUUCUUGCGCAGCCUAGGUGGGAGGCUAUGAAGAUUUCCUUCCGGGGAAGUUGGAGCCAACAGUGAGAGACCACUCUGGAAAGGCUAGAAUCCUCAUGGUGAUCCUUGAAUCAGGACACUUGACAGUUUCAGGCGGGCAGUUCCUCUGGGGCGGAGGCCUCAUAAAAGGUAACUGAGGUGCGCAAAGGUUCCCUCAGUCUGGACGGAAAUCAGACAACGAGUGUAAAGGCAAAAGGGAGCUUGACUGCAAGACCCACAAGUCGAGCAGGAGCGAAAGCUGGCCUUAGUAAUCCGACGGUGCCGUGUGGAAGGGCCGUCGCUCAACGAAUAAAAGUUA
Molecule: ribosomal RNA, 368 nt
Filed under: uncultured organism
Description: bacterial LSU rRNA
Rfam family: Bacterial large subunit ribosomal RNA
Source: RNAcentral